AUUGAACGCUGGCGGCAGGCCUAACACAUGCAAGUCGAGCGGAUGAAGGGAGCUUGCUCCUGGAUUCAGCGGCGGACGGGUGAGUAAUGCCUAGGAAUCUGCCUGGUAGUGGGGGAUAACGUCCGGAAACGGGCGCUAAUACCGCAUACGUCCUGAGGGAGAAAGUGGGGGAUCUUCGGACCUCACGCUAUCAGAUGAGCCUAGGUCGGAUUAGCUAGUUGGUGGGGUAAAGGCCUACCAAGGCGACGAUCCGUAACUGGUCUGAGAGGAUGAUCAGUCACCGGGGAGCUGAGACACGGUCAGGACUCCGCGGGGAGGCACCAGGGGGAAAUUUUGGAAAGGGGGCAAAACCUUGACCCACCCAGGCGGCGUGUGUAAAGAGGUUCUUGGAUUUUAAAAGAUUUUUAUGUGGGGAGAAGGGGUAUUAAUUUAAUCCCUUGUUUUUUUAACGUACCAAAAAAAAAAAGCCCCGGCUACCUUCGUC
Molecule: ribosomal RNA, 484 nt
Filed under: uncultured bacterium
Lineage: Bacteria
Description: partial 16S ribosomal RNA
Rfam family: Bacterial small subunit ribosomal RNA
Source: RNAcentral